CUGGUUUCAGAUUUUUAUCUCUGGCAUAGUGGUGUAGAUCAGCUGAAAGCAGCAGGAUUUGCCCCUGCAGAGACGUGAGCGGCACUCAGGCGCACAGCCGCGGUAUGCGUGCACAUCCACAAGCGAGCAGCGUGAGCACCGUGCUCCUGAGGAAGAGAAACCUGUGUUUGGCUGUUGGUGCCUCUGGGAUGGAGGCUGGAGCCUGCCCUGAUGCAUCAAGGAAGAGUUCCCAUCCAGGCUGUGGGCAAUUGGGCACUGCCUUGGCCAGCGUGUGGCCCAACAUCAUGCUGCUGUGCCGAGGGAAUCGCUGCCCAGUGGUAACCAGAGGCAAAGAUAACUAGCUUAUUGUUAAGAGUUCUAGACCCACAUCUCCAGUUGCCAAUGCUUUUUCUCUCUUCUCCCUGCUCAUGGCAUCUGCCUGCUUUUUCAGGCUGUGGACACACGCACUGGGAUGGGCUUUUGGUGCAGAGGUCAGUGGAUGUAGGAAUGGAGGAGAGCCAUGCACGUAGGGCAGCUACCAGUGCUGUCUCCAUCCAGGGCAAAUUCCACUCUGGAGACCUACAGCAACAAUUCCCACCACCCCCGAGGCGCUGUCUCCUACGCUGACCAUGGGGCACCUCAGGAGAUGGCAGAACCAAGGACUGAUGUUUGGGGUUGCUUUUUUUUUUUACUAUUUUCUUCCUGACUCAUUUCCCCAACCAAUAACUUACUGCGCUCACAAGCGAAAUAAGAACAGCUCCAAUUCCUGCUGAUGUCUGUGAGCUUUGCACGUGGCUCCAAGAGAGGUGGGACUAUCGUAGAAUACCAAAGCAAGCGGAUUGCUGAGGGCUCAGGAAUGGCAGAAAUGCCCUCAUGCGUUCUGUUUGUGACACUGCUGCUAAUUGGAGUUGCUUAAUCACACAGAGAGGCAGCUUCAGAGUAGCUUUACACCAGUCCUUCAGAUGUUUCCCUUAUCUCUGAUUUUCUGUGGCCUGCUGGGCUUUUUCCUAGUUGGUUUUCUGUCACCUAGAAAUUGCUCAGAGUGUUUAUUCCUCAGGACAUUUGAGUUUUCUCCAUGAUUCAGCCACAGACUCCUUGCUUGCCUGUCAUAAGACAUUCAAUCUUUUCAUUUCUAAGGUCCCCAUCUGUAUAGAGAGGCCAGAAAUGAGAGAAAAACAGGCAUAGUAGGGCUAGCUACAUACAGAUCCUCAAGUGUUGAGGGGACAUGCAGUUUCUUAAAUGAAUUGGUCACAUGAUACCGUUUUGGGGGGGUUUAUUUUGGUUCUUUACUGGGUAAUUGAAGCUUCAUAGACAUUAGGAAUCUGAAAAAUGCAUAUCAGUUACUUAUGUACAAACAGCUUUCUCACAGCAAUCUGGGGUUCUCGUAGGGGAGAGAGCCCUUCUAUGAGCACUGCAGCAAACAACCACCUGUUUCCACAAGUGUAAUGAUUCCCACAGCUAGAAUGAAGAGUUGAUAUUCAGGAUAUAAACACAGAUUUUCCAUCUCUACAUUGCAACAUUAGCUGCGAUGCCCACCAUCAAACCUUCUCCACCAAGAAACACACCUAUUUCUCUACAUUUCUAAGCUUUCCAAAUGACCACCCCCUUCUCCAUUUAAUAAGAUCUGCAUUCCUCUGGCUUAGCUUCUACUUUUGCGAUGGGCUUGGCACCCAAAGACAUGUGUUCAAGUAGUAGGAAGCCCAAGGAUGCAGGUGGAUGAACUUGGUCCUCUAGCUGCUAUCCAACAGGAGAUGCAUGGUCAUCAAACUCAGCCCCACAGCAAGUGAAAGGCUCCUGCUACAGUGAGGGGAUGUAAUUGGACCUUGUAAGCUCUGUGACAUGGGAACCAAUUACACAGAAAUCCAAGCUUUGGCAGGCAAGUCUGCACUCUGGCGCUAGCUGGUCUCCAGCAAACGGCUGCUGUACGCAUGGUAAAGGUUAAGACUCAGCUGAUGCAGAGUUGGCAGCUGCACUGAGUCCUUUGGCAUUAACAUGCCAUCUUGGGUAAGGAAGAACAAUAGAUAAGUGCCUUCUGGCAGCCCGCUUCCAUGCUCCCAUUCAGCCCGUGACAUGUUCUUUGGGGAAGCGUUACUUGAGAAAGCAAAAGAUAAAUCAGUGUAUGGUAGGAAAAUAGCAGGAAGCUUUGGCUCAAGGCAGGCAGCUAAGGGACAGCAGAGUCCAAGCUUAUCUGCCAGUUCAAUGAAAUGGCACGGUACUGUAUAUUAAGCAAGGGAAAAGAAAGUAGUGCUGGCAUGGUGAAGAGAGACUGAUGGAAAGAACUGGACUCAAGGAGGAAUGGGUGGUUCUUUCUUAUAUGUCCUUUCCUUAAUUACAUGCAAUGCAGUCCAGUGAAGAUCAGAUCACUUUCCGCAACAGUGAGGGUUGAAGAUGGAUGGGCACGGCAGGUUGGUGCUGGAAGCCAAGUGAGCAGCUGGCUAAAGCCCGUAUAGUCAAGGGAGCUCAGUGCUGGCCACCCAGGGCCUGGCCAUGGAAUGACCCUCAAGCUCCUCUGCAGUGAUAAGAGCGUCACUUCCACACUGCUGCCCUCAUGCCAUAGAAUCAUAGAAUCGCCUGGGUUGAAAGGAACCACAAUGAUCAUCUCGUUUCAACCCCCCUGCUAUGUGCAGGGUUGCCAACCACCAGACCAGGCUGCCCAGAGCCACAUCCAGCCUGGUCUUGAAUGCCUCCAGGGAUGGGGUCAUUGCAGAGAAGCUGCUUUUGAGGAAAUGGGAACACCACCAACACAAACUGCUCUGGUUUGAACUGUUAAUGGACUUUCAGACACCAUGAAAGGCAGAAGGGCAGUGUGCUUGUGGCGGAAACCAUUCUCUCCUUUCUCACAGUGAGAGGGAAAGGACAGCGCUAAAGAAAUGUGAUUUUGUGUUUGAAGGAAACAAUCAACCUAUUUUUCUCUCUAUAAGGGAGCAAAAUGGCCAUAGCUGCAAAUUAAUCCAGCAGUCCACAUCAGAUCCAGGAAGAAAAUAAUUUUGUUUUGUUUUCAUCACACAUUUCAGCAAUUAAGGAUUAGAAAGCAUUGGUUUUAAAAGGGAAACACUGUAAGGUUUUAUGACCUUAUAGUUAAAACCAUAUGACUGUCUGUAAAGAUAGAAAUAAGGACAUUAAGAAACUUAUAACGAGAAGAACUUAGGACUCUAGUCUCCAGGACAGCCUAAGAAUUCUGGUUCUCCGAAACUCUGACGUGGCUAUUGAAGCCCAAGCUUUGCCUUUCGGUCCCCCUCUUGUUCCUUGCACACCUGGAGACCUGGCCUUUGCUCUUUGCCUCUGUGUCCUGAGCAAUUUUCAUACAUUUCUGGGCUACAGUCUCUCUCUGUUUCAUAUCAGAACCUAUCUCUUCCCUUCCAUAUCUACACUUCUAUAGCAUCUCUUUUUACUGGUAUUACUUACUCCUAAUAACUGUAAUUACAUUAUGGAUCCCUGUCAAGCUUCUAGGAACAAAGCUUGGAUGAAGAAUUCUAUACAAAAUAGACCUCUAUCACAGGAAAUUUGCACCAUGGCAAAGAGACAAGGAAGUUGUUUGAUCAUUACUUUUAUCUAGAACAAAUUGCACAUAAUAGCAUAAUAAUAUUUUCUACCAGAUUCUGUUUCUCAGACAAGCACAAUUUCUUUCUCUUUUUUUUUUUUUUUUUUGGUAAAUUAAUCUGCAUUUAACUGAAUCAUCUAUGUAUAUCUGAGUCCCCAAAAUGAGAUACUUAAAUGUGCAUUAAAAAAUAAACAAAUGAGUAAUUCACUGAAUGCAGUCCUUGUUUCACUGCCCUUGACAUAGCCCUAGAAACUCAAAACUUUCGUAUUGACUUAAGAUAAGUGCCAUAAGACCAUUAAACAAUCCAUUGUUCUUAUGGUACCCAAUAAUCUAGUCUUUUUAUUUAAAUAUGAUAGGAAGUAAUCCCAGAGCCAAUGAAAGCAUGGAACCAACUAGGUGUAACGUUCCACAAAUGCUAUAUUGCAUGGAAGAGUUCAGCUCCUUAUCUGGAAAACAGUUGGCUGUGACCCUAUUAAACAAUUAUAUAUUAUCAGUUUUACUUGGCAACAUUUAUGUGUCAAAAUGUGUCAUGGGUUUCACAGCUUAGUUCCAGAAAUAGACUGUGAUCUGGGUGACAUCAUACUUCUCAGUAAAACCCUUUUUUUCACUUUUCUUCCUUUCAUAACCACUUGUGUUCCCGGUAUUCCCAGCCCCACGCUGGGUGCGCUCAGGCCAGCAAGAUGGAACAAGCCCUUUCCACAAUUUGGCUCCAUGGCACUUCAAAUGGGUUGAACAGUUUACCAAAACAGUGCUGGUCACCUGGUGACAAACAGGAACCUUGGUGGCUCCUCUAUGGCAGAGCAGGAAAAACACGGGAACUUUGGUGAAGACUGUUUAUAGCAAUAACCACUGCGCAAUGAAGAGACACCAAAGACUAUCAAUGAUUGAAUGGGGCUGGCGGUUCACUUUGUGAUGUAAAGGGAUAAGAAUGUGUUACUGGGAGGUGCAACUCCCGUAAACUCAAACAACGUCCAUGGAUGUACUGCUCAGAGCGCUUGGCCCGAGGCACAGGGGACAUGUCGGAUGGUGAAAGAUUAGGAAAAGCUACAAGCGGGGAGAGCUGAAAGUCUCCUCUCAGAAGCUUAUUGGGAUAUUUAAACAGUAAGUGACUGGAUUCUUAAAUGCAAAGUGGGAGAAAGUGGCAUUGUGAAACUGCAUUGCAAAAUCCUAUUAAGUCAAAGUUGCAAACAGCUACGCAACUGUCUGUUGUGUCGGAGCAGGAAGCCUGGGCACCAUUUUAAUGAGUCAUGAUCAAACAUCAUGCUGUCAUCUCAAUUUUUUCUCAAGUGCAUAUCAGGAAACAGAAAUGAAUUCUAGAGUUUUUAGCAUUCAAAGAAGAAAGUGCAUAAAGUUUUCCGCUCUCUGUAUGCUAAUCCUUUUCUUCAAAAUAUUAAGGGUGCGAUAUAAUUAAAAAUGUAAAAGGAGUUACCAUAGUAAACUCGAGGUCUUCAUGAACUAACCCACAGACCACAGCAUUUUCCUUUAUUUUGAAGCAUAACUCCAUUUUACCUCGCAAAUGUAGACAAACAUCCUCCAGGUUGUAAGCUGAAGGAAAUACGUAAGAAAGGAAA
RNAcentral lists this long non-coding RNA (5091 nucleotides) under Gallus gallus (chicken). Its description in RNAcentral is "lncRNA (ENSGALG00010022829.1)". The record is from RNAcentral. Lineage: Eukaryota; Metazoa; Chordata; Aves; Galliformes; Phasianidae.